CGGUAAUAGCUCAAAUUUGAAAUCUGGCCUCUCGGGGUCCGAGUUGUAAUUUGUAGAGGAUGUUUUGGGUACCGCCACGGUUUAAUUUUCUUGGAACAGGAAGCCAAAGAGGGUGAGAGUCCCGU
Molecule: ribosomal RNA, 125 nt
Filed under: Tubeufia sp.
Lineage: Eukaryota; Fungi; Ascomycota; Dothideomycetes; Tubeufiales; Tubeufiaceae
Description: partial large subunit ribosomal RNA
Rfam family: Eukaryotic large subunit ribosomal RNA
Source: RNAcentral